RNAcentral lists this long non-coding RNA (235 nucleotides) under Homo sapiens (human). Its description in RNAcentral is "HSALNT0265280". Lineage: Eukaryota; Metazoa; Chordata; Mammalia; Primates; Hominidae. The record is from RNAcentral.
GAAACAGAAGCCUAUCAGUUGCUGAAGAAGGCCACCCUUCAGGAUAAUACAAAUCAAACUGAAAACAGGUUUCAAAAGACAGAUGCUUCUGUGUCACACUUGUCAGGUUUGAAUAUUGGCAGCGGUGCAUUCGAGACAAAGACAGCUAACAAAAUUGCUUCGGAAGCUAGUUUUUCAUCUAGUGAAGGAAGUCCUUUGUCAAGGUAAAGUUGUGAAAGCCUUUCUGAAUAGCAGC